GUGCUUAAAAUGCAUGUUUCUCUUUUCUCUGGAAUAGUCUGGUCAAAGCUGAAGUCACAGAAAGCAUUAGAGCGCUGGCAGCCAGACACAGAGGAGGAAUAUGAAGACUCCAGCGGAAACGUGGUCAACAAGAAGACUUAUGAGGAUCUGAAGCGACAGGGGCUUCUGUAGCACAACAAACAAGAUCUCUGAACACACAAAACACUCACAGUGUGAAUACUGAAGCAGAAAUGUGAUAGAGUUUAGUCCUCGUCUGUCCCACAGUUUGUGAGAAAUUUGAUUUGUCUUUUUGAGAAUGAUCAGUUUGUACAUUUGUAUUACUCUUUCGUUAUGCCCCAUUUUUGCAUUUGCUGUCUUAAUUAUUAAACAGAGACUUUCAUUAAUCAAUGAAUUUUAGUACAUUGUGUGAAAAAUGUUUACUUGUGCAGCAUGCUGUUUUUAACCAGUCUGGAGACUUUUUAAACCUGCUGUACAAUAAAAUCAAACAGUGAGAUGGUUUUACUUCAGUAGGCAUCUGUCACUGUACUAAAAUAUAUUCAGACUCCUUCAUUUUUCCCAACUUUUGAUGUUGCAGCCUAAUGCUAAAAUCCUUUAUUUUUCAUUCACAUCAAUCAUAAUGACAAAGAAAAAUCAGAUGUGAUAACUGCAAAUGUAGUGAAAGAAAUAAAAAAAAAAUAUUGAAAAACAGUAUCACAUUGACAUAAGAAUUCUUAAGUUUUAUUGCUUUGACUGAAUUUAGUUCAGAUGCACCCAAUUUCUCUGGAUCAUCAUUGAGAUUU
Long non-coding RNA from Sinocyclocheilus rhinocerous, 779 nucleotides. RefSeq lists it as uncharacterized. The record is from RefSeq and is a predicted model, not a curated record. The transcript is spliced from 2 exons. NCBI's taxonomy places the organism in Eukaryota, Metazoa, Chordata, Actinopteri, Cypriniformes, Cyprinidae.